Molecule: ribosomal RNA, 301 nt
Filed under: uncultured bacterium
Lineage: Bacteria
Description: partial 16S ribosomal RNA
Rfam family: Bacterial small subunit ribosomal RNA
Source: RNAcentral
CAGCAGCCGCGGGAAUACGUAGGGUGCGAGCGUUAAUCGGAAUUACUGGGCGUAAAGCGUGCGCAGGCGGUUUGUUAAGACAGAUGUGAAAUCCCCGGGCUCAACCUGGGAACUGCAUUCGUGACUGGCAAGCUAGAGUAUGGCAGAGGGGGGUGGAAUUCCGCGUGUAGCAGUGAAAUGCGUAGAUAUGCGGAGGAACACCGAUGGCGAAGGCAGCCCCCUGGGCCAAUACUGACGCUCAUGCACGAAAGCGUGGGGAGCAAACAGGAUUAGAUACCCCCGUAGUCCCUGUCUCUUAUAC